AAACCUCAAAGCAGGGGAAAUUACCCCCCUAAUUUAAGCAUAUCAAUAAGCGGAGGA
This 57-nucleotide ribosomal RNA is filed under the name Paederus mesopotamicus. Its description in RNAcentral is "partial 28S ribosomal RNA". The record is from RNAcentral. Lineage: Eukaryota; Metazoa; Arthropoda; Insecta; Coleoptera; Staphylinidae.